This is a long non-coding RNA of Oncorhynchus tshawytscha (Chinook salmon), 2975 nucleotides long. The record is from Ensembl. NCBI's taxonomy places the organism in Eukaryota, Metazoa, Chordata, Actinopteri, Salmoniformes, Salmonidae.
GGUUUGGAACCCUGUUCCCGGUGUAGUGCUCUACACUACACAGGGUGUGGUUUGGAACCCUGUUCCCGGUGUAGUGCUCUACACUACACAGGGUGUGGUUUGGAACCCUGUUCCCGGUGUAGUGCUCUACACUACACAGCCUCUGUUUAUUUAAGUGGUACUUCUGUUCUGUUGGACAACAGGCUGUAUUUUGAUGUGUGUUUUGGCUGUUGUGUGUUUCUUCCAUUGGGAGGUGCAGUUUGAGACGUCUGCCUGUCGAACAGGGGUUCGACCUUCCUCUGUGGAAGCUGGUAUGGGUGCAGGCUUUAGCUCCCGCCCUGCAGUAAAACCUGUUUCAACUAAUCAUUUUUUAACGUUGAUUUAAUUAUAGUUAAGUCAAAUUCUAGUUAUCAAUAAAGAACAGCUGAUUCAACUGAUCCAAUUAGUCUUGGUCAUCAAUAAAGACUUUAUUAGUGGAGUCUGAUGUGUUACACCCACCGUGGUUCUGACAGGUUCUGGCCCCUGGAGCAGAGAACAGACACCCACCGUGGCCCGGACAGGUUCUGACCCCUGGAGCAGAGAACAGACACCCACCGUGGCCCUGACAGGUUCUGACCCCUGGAGCAGAGAACAGAGACCCACCGUGGCCCUGACAGGUUCUGACCCCUGGAGCAGAGAACAGACACCCACCGUGGCCCUGACAGGUUCUGACCCCUGGACCAGAGAACAGACAGGUUCUGACCCCUGGACCAGAGAACAGACACCCACCGUGGCCCUGACAGGUUCUGACCCCUGGACCAGAGAACAGACACCCCCAGUGAAAGCAGCAUCUAUGUGGGGGAAGUGAUCAGAACCCUGGUCAGGAUAGUGAACGGUGGACCAGUCAAUCUUCAUUUCAUUUGCAUCUCCAUAUACCUUCUCUUCUCGUCAAUAGAGAUGAUUCAUAUGUUGAAAUGUAUAUCAAGAUAUUGUUUAUUUCACUUUUCUUUCAUCCUGGUUCCAUCAAUCGUCCAAUCAUCAAGCCCUUUUGAUAAGUUGAUUGAGGUGUGUUAGGCUGGCACAAAACCCUGCACACCCUGUGUGUUUCCAGGACUGGGAUUGAAGGACACUGAUGUGUUUAACUUUGUGUUUGUCAGAAUCAGACUGGGGAUGAAUUUUAAUUUAGUUUCUCAGAUUUUUACGAAGUGCUUUUUUUACUGAGCGGCUGAUGUUUUGAAUUUAGUCUGUGUUUUUGGUUUUACUGUGUUGUUGUUAUUGACAUUAUUUAACAGAUCACGAGUUUGUAAAUAUUGAUGAAAGACUGAGGAUGAUGUUAUUAUCGUUGGUGGUAAUAUAAGCAGUGUAUAGCACCUUCAUAAGCAGUGUAUAGCACCUUCAUAAGCAGUGUAUAGCACCUUCAUAAGCAGUGUAUAGCACCUUCAUAAGCAGUGUAUAGCACCUUCAUAAGCAGUGUAUAGCACCUUCAUAAGCAGUGCAUGAGGGCUUCAUAGGUAAAAGCAUCAUCUUGAGUCUUGUCCAAUAUGACAUGUACUGACCCAAUCACAACAACCCCACGCCCUUCCAGCAAGUAUUUGAAACGAUCCGACCCAUACAGACCCGUUAAUCUGGGCUUGGGCUUUGGAUCCUCCACAGGGAUGACGUAGGCCCUUAAGUAUUGCUUAUGAAGGGGACAAGUAGCCUCUAAGUAGGUUUCCUGCUCUAACUCUAAAGAUCUGACCAUACAUGGACUGUACAUCAGUGGAGUUGUUGCUAAUAGCAACAUGUCAAAAGUAUACCUAAUUUACAUCCCAAAUGGUACCCUAUCCCCUAUAUAGUGCCCUUCAUUUGACCAGAGCCCUAUGGGUUGAGCCCUAUAAAGUACACUUCAUUUGACCAGAGCCCUAUAUAGUACACUUCAUUUGACCAGAGCCCUAUGGGUUGAACCCUAUAUAGUACACUUCAUUUGACCAGGGCCCUAUGGGUUGAGCCCUAUAUAGUACACUUCAUUUGACCAGGGCCCUAUGGGUUGAACCCUAUAUAGUACACUUAAUUUGACCAGAGCCCUAUAUAGUGCACUUCAUUUGACCAGAGUCCUAUGGGUUGAGCCCUAUAUAGUGCACUUCAUUUGACCAGAGCCCUAUAUAGUACACUUCAUUUGACCAGAGCCCUAUAUAGUGCACUUCAUUUGACCAGAGCCCUAUGGGUUGAGCCCUAUAUAGUACACUUCAUUUGACCAGAGCCCUAUAUAGUACACUUCAUUUGACCAGAGCCCUAUAUAGUGCACAUCAUUUGACCAGAGCCCUAUGGGUUGAGCCCUAUAUAGUACACUUCAUUUGACCAGAGCCCUAUGGGUUGAACCCUAUAUAGUGCACUUCAUUUGACCAGAGCCCUAUAUAGUGCACUUCAUUUGACCAGAGCCCUAUGGGUUGAGCCCUAUAUAGUGCACUUCAUUUGACCAGAACCCUAUAUAGUGCACUUCAUUUGACCAGAACCCUAUGGGUUGAGCCCUAUAUAGUGCACUUCAUUUGACCAGAGCCCUAUAUAGUGCACUUCAUUUGACCAGAGCCCUAUAUAGUACACUUCAUUUGAUCAGAGCCCUAUGGGUUGAACCAUAUAUAGUACACUUCAUUUGACCAGAGCCCUAUGGGUUGAACCAUAUAUAGUACACUUCAUUUGACCAGAGCCCUAUGGGUUGAACCCUAUAUAGUGCACUUCAUUUGACCAGAGCCCUAUAUAGUGCACUUCAUUUGACCAGAGCCCUAUGGGUUGAACCCUAUAUUGUAAACUUCAUUUGACCAGAGCCCUAUGGGUUGAACCCUAUCCCUUAAGUAGUGCACUAUACAGGGGAAAGGAUGCCAUUUGUGACACAGAGGGAGGAUUUGAAUGGAUCUGUUCCAGGGUUUGUUGUGUGUAGUGUUUUAAACUAAAACCUGCUAACCAACCAUGUAAUGUCUAACAGUAUGAUGGAGGUCACAUGGUUAAAUAAAGCGGAUGUUUGGAACAUGUGUAGGAGAGAC